Molecule: ribosomal RNA, 498 nt
Filed under: uncultured bacterium
Lineage: Bacteria
Description: partial 16S ribosomal RNA
Rfam family: Bacterial small subunit ribosomal RNA
Source: RNAcentral
GACGAACGCUGGCGGCGUGCCUAAUACAUGCAAGUCGAGCGGACGAAUCGAAAGCUUGCUUUUGAUUCGUUAGCGGCGGACGGGUGAGUAACACGUGGGCAACCUGCCCUGUAGACGGGGAUAACACCGAGAAAUCGGUGCUAAUACCGGAUAACACGAAAUGUCGCAUGACGUUUCGUUGAAAGACGGCGCAAGCUGUCGCUACAGGAUGGGCCCGCGGCGCAUUAGCUAGUUGGUGAGGUAACGGCUCACCAAGGCGACGAUGCGUAGCCGACCUGAGAGGGUGAUCGGCCACACUGGGACUGAGACACGGCCCAGACUCCUACGGGAGGCAGCAGUAAGGAAUCUUCCGCAAUGGACGAAAGUCCGACGGAGCAACGCCGCGUGAGCGAAGAAGGCCUUCGGGUCGUAAAGCUCUGUUGUUAGGGAAGAACAAGUAACGCAGUAACUGGCGUUACCGUGACGGUACCUAACGAGAAAGCCACGGCUAACUACGUG